GUGCGCCGCCGCGGUAAUACCGGCAGCCCGAGUGAUGGCCGAUGUUAUUGGGCCUAAAGCGUCCGUAGCUGGCCGACCAAGUCUCCCGGGAAAUCCACCCGCCCAACGGGUGGGCGUCCGGUGGAAACUGGCCGGCUUGGAACCGGAAGGCUCAGAGAGUACGUCCGGGGUAGGAGUGAAAUCCCGUAAUCCCGGACGGACUACCGAUGGCGAAAGCACUUCGAGAAAACGGAUCCGACAGUGAGGGACGAAAGCCAGGGUCUCCAACCGGAUUAGAAACCCUGGUAGUCC
Molecule: ribosomal RNA, 291 nt
Filed under: uncultured bacterium
Lineage: Bacteria
Description: partial 16S ribosomal RNA
Rfam family: Archaeal small subunit ribosomal RNA
Source: RNAcentral